UGAAAUAUAUUUCAUCACCAGUACUAGAAACCUGAAAUCUAGCAAUAUUCGAAUGGUUGGAAGGUCAGGAUUAAAGAGAUCCGGUGAAAUAUAUUUCAUCACCAGUACUAGAAACCUGAAAUCUAGCAAUAUUCGAAUGGUUGGAAGGUCAGGAUUAAAGAGAUCCGGUGAAAUAUAUUUCAUCACCAGUACUAGAAACCUGAAAUCUAGCAAUAUUCGAAUGGUUGGAAGGUCAGGAUUAAAGAGAUCCGGUGAAAUAUAUUUCAUCACCAGUACUAGAAACAUGGUAAAAUCUUCAAGUGAAGCUAAAGUUAAUCAUGAGUCUUGAUUUAAGUUACUCAAAAGAAAGUCACGUGGUUUUUAAAAGCAAAAAAAC
This is a long non-coding RNA of Limulus polyphemus (Atlantic horseshoe crab), 376 nucleotides long. RefSeq lists it as uncharacterized. The record is from RefSeq and is a predicted model, not a curated record. Lineage: Eukaryota; Metazoa; Arthropoda; Merostomata; Xiphosura; Limulidae. The transcript has 2 exons.